This 959-nucleotide ribosomal RNA is filed under the name Bacillus sp. MDS02. RNAcentral's name for it is "bacterial SSU rRNA". It matches the Rfam family "Bacterial small subunit ribosomal RNA", at positions 10 to 948 of the family's 1533-position model. The record is from RNAcentral. Lineage: Bacteria; Bacillati; Bacillota; Bacilli; Caryophanales; Bacillaceae.
AGUUUGAUCCUGGCUCAGGACGAACGCUGGCGGCGUGCCUAAUACAUGCAAGUCGAGCGGACGGAUGGGAGCUUGCUCCCUGAAGUCAGCGGCGGACGGGUGAGUAACACGUGGGUAACCUGCCUGUAAGACUGGGAUAACUCCGGGAAACCGGGGCUAAUACCGGAUAUUCUUUCUUCUCCGCAUGGAGAAGGAUGGAAAGGCGGCUUCGGCUGUCACUUACAGAUGGACCCGCGGCGCAUUAGCUAGUUGGUGGGGUAACGGCCCACCAAGGCGACGAUGCGUAGCCGACCUGAGAGGGUGAUCGGCCACACUGGGACUGAGACACGGCCCAGACUCCUACGGGAGGCAGCAGUAGGGAAUCUUCCGCAAUGGACGAAAGUCUGACGGAGCAACGCCGCGUGAGUGAAGAAGGUUUUCGGAUCGUAAAGCUCUGUUGUUAGGGAAGAACAAGUACGGAAGUAACUGUCCGUACCUUGACGGUACCUAACCAGAAAGCCACGGCUAACUACGUGCCAGCAGCCGCGGUAAUACGUAGGUGGCAAGCGUUGUCCGGAAUUAUUGGGCGUAAAGCGCGCGCAGGCGGCUUCUUAAGUCUGAUGUGAAAGCCCACGGCUCAACCGUGGAGGGUCAUUGGAAACUGGGAGGCUUGAGUGCAGAAGAGGAGAGCGGAAUUCCACGUGUAGCGGUGAAAUGCGUAGAGAUGUGGAGGAACACCAGUGGCGAAAGGCGGCUCUCUGGUCUGUAACUGACGCUGAGGCGCGAAAGCGUGGGGAGCGAACAGGAUUAGAUACCCUGGUAGUCCACGCCGUAAACGAUGAGUGCUAAGUGUUGGAGGGUUUCCGCCCUUCAGUGCUGCAGCUAACGCAUUAAGCGCUCCGCCUGGGGGAGUACGGUCGCAGACUGAAACUCAAAGGAAUUGACGGGGGCCCGCCACAAGCGGUGGAGCAUGUGGUUUA